GGCCACGCGCUCGGGUCCCCUUCCACACUGUGGGAGUUUUGUUCUUUUGCUCUUUGCAAUAAAUCUUGCUACUGCUCACUCUUUGGGUCCACGCUGCUUUUAUGAGCUGUAACACUCACCGGGAAGAUCUGCAGCUUCACUCUUGAGCCCAGCGAGACCACGAGCCCACCGGGAGGAAUGAACAACUCCAGACGCGCUACCUUAAGAGCUGUAACACUCACCGCGAAGGUCUGCAGCUUCACUCCUGAGCCAGCGAGACUACGAAGGAACCCACCAGAAGGAAGAAACUCCGAACACAUCUGAACAUCAGAAGGGACAGACUCCAGACGCGCCACCUUAAGUGCUGUAACACUCACUGCGAGGGUCCGCGGCUUCAUUCUUGAAGUCAGUGAGACCAAGAACCCACCAAUUCCGGACAGAAGGGCCCAGGGAGCAUGGAGUGCAGGGACACUGCCGGCUGCCUUUCACCUUUCUCUCCUUCCCUUCCCCACACAGUCAGUCUGGGGAAUCCCAUUCUUUUCUUUUCUUUUCUUUUCUUUUUUUUUUAAUUUGGAGAUGGAGUCUCAUUGUGUUGCCGAGGCUGGAGUGCAAUGGCCCAAUCUCGGCUCUCACUGCAACCUCUGCCUCUAGGGUUCAAGCGAUUCUCCUGCCUCAGUCCCCCAAGUAGCUGGGAUUACAGGCGCGUGCCACCACGCCCAGCUAAUUUUGUGUUUUUAGUAGAGACGGGGUUUCACCAUGUUAGCCAGGCUGGUCUCGAACUCCUGAUUUCAGGUGAUCCACCCGCCUCGGCCUCCCAAAGUGCUGGGAUUACAGGUGUGAGCCACUGCGCCCGGCCUGGGGAAUCCCAUUCUUAUGAUGUGAUCACCCAGUGUCCCUGUGUCAGACCUCUGGUGCCAAGAGAGACCUUAGAGAUCACCUGAUCCCACGCCUUCAUUUUACAGAUGGAGGAACUGAGGCUCAGGGAGGUGAUUUUUUCCAAGGUCACCUGCCUAGGCUUCCUGGAGCCAGCUCUGUGCUCUUCUAAAACCACCACUUACUUUCCAAUGGAGGGAGGUGACGUGUCGAGCACCUCUCACCUCUAUUAGCCAGCCUGGUGUCUCCUGAAAAGCAGCGAGCAUGUGCAUGUGUGCACUGAUAAUAUGUACCCCUGCAAGUCAGAGAGGGCACGUGCACACCUACGCGUCUUUGCAAACUGCUGGACAUCAUCUGCUGCAGAUGCAGAGGUCCUGCUCUGUGACCCACACUCUGAGCUCUAAGGAGAAGGAAACACACCCACACCCACACCCUUGAGAACUCACCACAGGGAAGAGUCCACGGAGGCAGACCCAGAACGGAGUGCAGAGAGCAAUGGGAACCGCCUGGGAAUUGUUCUCAAUUGUGUCCUCACGCCCACACACUGACCUCCCGGGGCUCUGCAGCCAGGCUCCCUGUGCCUUCCUCGCCCCGGGGAGAGUCUGAACUCCCAGAAUGCGUGUGUGUGCAUCCCCUGCCCCUGCAGAAGACUCUCAACGGAUCCAGCUAAGUCACCAGCCCAAACGCAAGCCCAAGUCUUGGCGUGACAGGGGCAUUCAGCACUCACAGUUUAUCUGUGGAGAAGAAUCCCAGGCACUGGGUUUCAGAAUCAAGGGCACUAGUGCGGAGGAAGUCUCCAUCAGCCCUCACCUGACUCCUGGCGCUGUGGGUCCCUGAGGGCCCCAGGCAGCUCACCAAUUCUCUGCUUCCCAUGGAUGCUUGUGGUUACUGGCUGACCUCAGUGUCUCUCCCCAGGAUAACAGGACUAGGGGAGUCUCCCUUCACAGUUUGAAAGCACCUUAGUUCCUCCUACUGUCUCAAACCUCUCCAUGGGCGCUGGCAGACCUGCUAUGAUUUUCAUCCUACAGAUGAGGCCCCAGAGGCUUGAGGGUGAAUGGUGCUCAAGGGUGAGGUCUCUCUGAGGCUGGUGCCCUCCCCACACCCGGGGCACUGCCUGACAGCUAUCCCCCAAGACCCCACUCCCUUCAGCCACUGGGACUUCCCUCCCAAUGCAGGCCGUGUGUGCCCUGCUCCUGUGCAGCGGCAGGACAGGUUUCCAAAAACCAACGGCAAAGUUUCCUGAAAGGCUCUGGCUUCCAGGACUCUUGGCAGGGCUCUGCCCAGGAAGCAAUGAGCUGGCACUUUCCUGGCUGUGUGCUUAUAGCUGACCCUGGCCUCAGAGGCCUUCCUCUCCUUAUCAGGAAAGGAUGCCAAGGAGGAGGGAGGAGGCUCUGGGGAGAGUCCAGGCCUUUGUGUGAACCAUCCUAAGGGAAGUGGAUGCUUCUGAGCAGCCCUGCCCGGCUCUGGGCCUUGCCCGCCCUCAUCUUCAGCAGGGCUUUGGCACUGGAAAGAAUGAGCUUCAGCUCCUGAGCCUUGCAGGAGUCAGAGGUCAGCAGAUUCCAGGGCUCAGCCUUUCCGCCUCAGUCAGAAACUCUCAGCAGACCAAAGGCCUGGGCUACAGUCCACUGAGAGUUUUUGACCAAGGCAGAAAUUCUUCUCCACAGAUAAACUGUGAGAUAAACUGGGUGGGGACAUCAGCAGCCUCCUCUCUGACGGGCAAAGUUCUUGGGGCCUGCCAUGUGACCACCCAGCCUGGACUCCCUGCCAACACACACACAAAACAAGGCCCCUGCUAGACCCCAGUGCCUGGGCCCAGCUACUGGGCUGGCUUCUCUGCUGGUGUCCAAGGCUCACAGAUUCCUGUUCUGCUUUCCCUCCAGACAUCCUCUCUGGUCUUCCUGGUCUACCCUCAGGCACACAGGCCUCUCCUCCCCUUAUGCCUCUGUCAGCUCUCUCCUCUGCCUGGACCGCUCUCCCCUCAUCCCUCAGCCCCAGCUCUCCCCUCAAUCCCUGGGAUGCCUGUAUGGACCUCCCGGAGGGCUGGUCCCUCUGUCCCACGCCCUGGACUUCUCUGCAGCACUCCUCAUGGCCACCGUGACUCUCUUGGGGGUGAUCCGUUGACUCACUCCGGCUGCAGGAGGGCUGGGACAGUGCCUGCUGCCUGUGUGCUGGCCAGACACAGUGGGAGUGCCCGCCCAUGCUUACUGGGGAAGCAGAGACAAUGGAAUGUUUUAGCAGGAUUGGGGUCUUCAGAAGGUACUUCCAUGAGGUCCUGCAUACAGCUGGGGUAGGAGGAGGCAGUUUAGGGCCUGGACGAUGUGGGGCUGACAUGAGAGAACAGGCCAGGGUAGGGUGCUGGGCAGGUGGGUCAGAGGGGCAGUCGUCCGCCUGGUACACAAUGUCUUAUAUAUGUUUGCAGGGGUGAAAAGAGACCUGUUCAGGGGCAGUGCCCAGUGAGGAGACCCUCAAACGAGAGGCAGAGUCCCUCAAGCCUUUGUACAAUGCCACCAAGGGUGCUGCCCCUUCUUCAACAGAACGUCCUCCUUGCAGGGAGGCUGCAGUGAUGUCAGAGAUGGUGGGUUCAAACCUGCUCCUGUCUUCUCUCUGUAGCCUCCCUUUCCUCAUCUGUGAAGUGGGGAUGAUAAGAGCUAACUGGCAAGGUUAUUGGGUGGUCAGCUGAGGGAAAGUUCUUGAAAGGUGUUACUGAAUCAAACGUCAUUUUGCUUUUUCCUUCUCGCAGAAUCACAGGCCAGAGGUGAGAGCUGGAGAAAGGGAAACUCUCCCAGUCCCUGGGAGUGGUCAUUACAGACUGGGAAAUCGCUCUCCAGCUGAUGCACAGGUCUGCCCUGGAAGGGCUCCUUUCCAGGGCUCAGGGACUCUGUGACUCCUUUUGGGGAGCAGAGUUGUGGACAAGAGUGCAUUUUUCUAGAGAGAUGGUCCACAAGCCAUCCAGAGCCAGGCUCUGUCUCCAGGUACCCUUGAUCCUUGGAGACCUCCCUCAGGUCCUGGCUUUCUUUUUGGAUUCAGGAUUUCCCUGUGUUCCCCAGGCUGGAGGGCAGUGGCUUACUGCCGCCUCCACCUCCUGGGCUCAAGCAUUCCACCUGCCUCAGCCUCUCAAGUAGCUGAGACCACAGGCACACACCACCAGACCCAUAGAACUUUUUUAUUUUUUGUAAAGACAGGGUCUCACUAUGUCUUUACAUAGUGAGGUCUCGAACUCCUGGGCUUAAGUGAUCCACCCACCUCGGCCUCCCAAAGUGCUGGGAUUACAGGCAUGAGCUACCACGCCUGGCUUAGUUAGCCCUGGCUUUCAAUUCCAUCUCUGUUCUCCAGGACAAGCUGUCUCUGCAACUCCAGGCUCUUCUGGAAGCUGCCACCAAUGCCUUUUCCACGUGGGGAGCUGCUUGAGGUUCCUUCCUCCCUUAACUCAAAUGAUGACAACUCCAGCUUUUGGUUACUCAGGCCAAACUCUCAGAGUCAUUCUAGACCCUUCUCUUUCAAAAUGUACACCCAAUCUAUCAGCCAGUCCUGUCAGCUCUAUUUUAAAAUAUAUGCAGAAACUAAACGAUAGUGGUAGAAAAUAGAUCCGAGGGGCUUGGAGUGUGGAAUAAGGGGGAUACAAAAGAACAGGAGAAAAUUUGGAAGCUGAUGGGAAUGUGAAGUAUCUUGACUGUGGAGAUGGUUGAGUGGGUGUAUAUGUGUGUCAAAAUACAAUAAAUUGUACACUAUAUGUGUGGUUUAAUAUGUGCUAGUUAUGCCUCAAUAAAACUGUUUUUUUUUUUAAGUCAGAU
This 4643-nucleotide long non-coding RNA is filed under the name Homo sapiens (human). RNAcentral's name for it is "HSALNT0314793". Lineage: Eukaryota; Metazoa; Chordata; Mammalia; Primates; Hominidae. The record is from RNAcentral.